Molecule: ribosomal RNA, 154 nt
Filed under: Navicula phyllepta
Lineage: Eukaryota; Bacillariophyta; Bacillariophyceae; Naviculales; Naviculaceae
Description: 5.8S ribosomal RNA
Rfam family: 5.8S ribosomal RNA
About the family: 5.8S ribosomal RNA (5.8S rRNA) is a component of the large subunit of the eukaryotic ribosome. It is transcribed by RNA polymerase I as part of the 45S precursor that also contains 18S and 28S rRNA.
Source: RNAcentral
ACAACUUUCAGCAACGGAUGUCUAGGCUCCCACAACGAUAAGAACGCAGCGAAAUGCGAUACGUAAUGCGAAUUGCAAGACCUCGUGAAUCAUCCAAAUUUUGAACGCACAUUGCGCUUCCAGGAUUUUCCUGGCAGCAUGCUUGUCUGAGUGU